GAUGAACGCUGGCGGCGUGCCUAACACAUGCAAGUCGAGCGAUUUACUUCGGUAAAGAGCGGCGGACGGGUGAGUAACGCGUGGGUAACCUGCCCUGUACACACGGAUAACAUACCGAAAGGUAUGCUAAUACGAGAUAAUAUGCUUUUAUCGCAUGGUAGAAGUAUCAAAGCUUUUGCGGUACAGGAUGGACCCGCGUCUGAUUAGCUAGUUGGUAAGGUAACGGCUUACCAAGGCGACGAUCAGUAGCCGACCUGAGAGGGUGAUCGGCCACAUUGGAACUGAGACGCGGUCCAAACUCCUACGGGAGGCAGCAGUGGGGAAUAUUGCACAAUGGGCGAAAGCCUGAUGCAGCAACGCCGCGUGAGCGAUGAAGGCCUUCGGGUCGUAAAGCUCUGUCCUCAAGGAAGAUAAUGACGGUACUUGAGGAGGAAGCCCCGGCUAACUACGUG
Molecule: ribosomal RNA, 452 nt
Filed under: uncultured bacterium
Lineage: Bacteria
Description: bacterial SSU rRNA
Rfam family: Bacterial small subunit ribosomal RNA
Source: RNAcentral